GUUGGUACUAGCAGGUUAAUAUAAAACUGUUGGCUAGUUGGUACUAGCAGGUUAAUAUAAAACUGUUAGCUAGUUGGUACUGGCAGGUUAAUAUAAAGAGUUGGGCAAAUACUGCUAGCACUAGCGAAAAGUAUUUCACACUGGGUUGCUCACACCAAUGUGAAUUGAUAGAAGCUUGUUUAACGUCAUUAUAGUUAUCGAUUCCCAUUGCAUUAAACUAACGCAGUCACAUGCGUGUGAUAUAGCUAACUUUAGCUACAAAACAAACAAUAGUGCAAAUCGGCUUCCAAUGUUUUUUAUGCACACGCUAUGUGCCCAUUGUUACAUUGCAUGAUUUAAACGGUUACCUUUUCUGCAGAAGCAUCGAUUGCAGACUGGUUGUAAAACGAAGCAACGGUUUUGGACCUCUCACGAGCCAACUCGAAAUAUCCCUGCAUCGAGGACGUGGAACGGAAUCUUUCGUUCACACCGUUGAGGUUGAUUGUUUUCGACAUGGGAGACCUCAAAAUCCUAGUCACUCCGGGACUGUUAAUAUUACUGCACCCCAGCAUCUCCAGCGCUCUACCUGUCACACACGGUCGCAUUUUCGAUAUUGUCUGUCUGUACAGUCAAGUACCGUAUUUGUUCCAGUGCUUUCAACGGCCUGUUUAUCUAGCCAUUCUAGCGAUUGUAGCUAAGAUUCCACCAUACCGAAACCCUUAAUUUGGGCUACUGACUGUAUCAUGCGAACUACAGCACGAGCUCCGGUUAUAUAAGAAGAAAGUCCACUGUGAAACAGUAUUUGUCAAAAGACGCAACGAUUUAACCAAUCGCUGUUAAGAGGGGAGGAGACAUGGGGUCUCGCCACACCCCUCUUCGUACUGUACCAAACUACUGUACACGAAGAACAAUGGCCAACGCGAGGACACAAUGUUCUGUUGGAAUUUAUUCCUUUGCAUUCUAUUGAAAACGGUCGCAGGGGGGCUGGAGCCUAUCCCAGCAUACAUUGGGCGAAAGGCAGGAAUACACCCUGGACAGGUCGCCAGUCCAUCACAGGGCAUACACACCAUUCACUCACACACUCAUACCCAGGACCUCCUUGCUGUGAGGCGGCAGUGCUCAGGACCUCCUUGCUGUGAGGCGGCAGUGCUCAGGACCUCCUUGCUGUGAGGCGGCAGUGCUGCCCACUGCACCAUCCGUGCUGCCUCGCUCCCAGAACUGUUAAGUUGAAAUAGUACUGUGUAGAUCAUGGGUUUUCCACAUAGUGUUUAGUGUCUUUAGAUAGCUAAUGUUGUGGGAAAUACUUUGGUGUCAUUGGUGGUGUAGUACACUGGUUGCUGAAUAAAGAUCUUGAAACAGCAUUUAGAAAUAAACCACAGGUAAUGCAAGUUACCUGUGACUCAGCAUCCAGCUGUGCUAAAGGUUAACCAGGUUUGUUAAGACAUACAAUGAUAACAUCAGCAAUUGUUACCGCCCUCUUGUGACUCUUUAUUUGAUGAUUUGUUGUUUUCCUGUAAACCCUGGGUAUAUAGAGGUAAACGUGGAAUGGUUCGAGGAGACUCGCUAAUACUACCUCCUGCGUGCCAUUUAUGUAUAGCCAUUCAUGUUACAUCUUGUAAUUCUUGUAACACAUUGUAAUUCUAUUUCUGCAAUGGACAUUGUUUAAUAAAUUGUAUUAAUUUGAA
Conger conger (European conger) is the source of this 1664-nucleotide long non-coding RNA. RefSeq lists it as uncharacterized. The transcript is spliced from 2 exons. The record is from RefSeq and is a predicted model, not a curated record. Lineage: Eukaryota; Metazoa; Chordata; Actinopteri; Anguilliformes; Congridae.